This 508-nucleotide ribosomal RNA is filed under the name uncultured bacterium. RNAcentral's name for it is "partial 16S ribosomal RNA". It matches the Rfam family "Bacterial small subunit ribosomal RNA", at positions 28 to 523 of the family's 1533-position model. The record is from RNAcentral.
GAUGAACGCUAGCUACAGGCUUAACACAUGCAAGUCGAGGGGAAACGAUAUUGGAAGCUUGCUUCCGAUAGGCGUCGACCGGCGCACGGGUGAGUAACGCGUAUCCAACCUGCCCACCACUUGGGGAUAACCUUGCGAAAGUAAGACUAAUACCCAAUGAUAUCUCAAGAAGACAUCUGAAUGAGAUUAAAGAUUUAUCGGUGAUGGAUGGGGAUGCGUCUGAUUAGCUUGUUGGCGGGGUAACGGCCCACCAAGGCGACGAUCAGUGGGGGUUCUGAGAGGAAGGUCCCCCACAUUGGAACUGAGACACGGUCCAAACUCCUACGGGAGGCAGCAGUGAGGAAUAUUGGUCAAUGGGCGAGAGCCUGAACCAGCCAAGUAGCGUGCAGGAUGACGGCCCUAUGGGUUGUAAACUGCUUUUAUAAGGGAAUAAAGUGAGCCUCGUGAGGCUUUUUGCAUGUACCUUAUGAAUAAGGACCGGCUAAUUCCGUGCCAGCAGCCGCGGUAA